GCCGCGUUGUUUUGACGUGCUUUUGCAGCUCACUGGGGUUUCACGCAUUUUGUUCUUCUCUCGCGACAUGACAUUCGCUGUCUUGCAUCCGGUCGAGGAGAGGCCCCAAUGUGCCGAGCCAGACGGGCGGCACCGUGUGUACGGCGUUUCCAGAACAAAGGCCGGCACCACGAGAGCGUCGCCGGUGUGGACUUGAUGGCCCUCGAAUCCGGCGGGACCGAAAUCAUGCCUCCCAGUUGCUGAGAACCGUGCAGGUUUGUACACCAGGCUGUCUACAAAAAGUCUGCGAGGUCCAACAAGGUGACCGGAGAAGGGGUGUUUGGUCUGCACCCAGUGCUGCUGGUGCUGAAGACUGGCGGGUGGGAGCAGUUCUUUCUGCACGUCCGUGGCGGCAAGCUGAAUUUCCGGAGUGUCGUUGCUCUGGACAGAGAUACUGGGUUUCGCCGAGCAGCGGGAACUGGCGUCCAAGUGGUCUUCCCUCACCAACCUAGACCACCUCACCGAGAAAGGAACCCAUCAGGGGAUUUGCCUGGAUGCCACCCAGUUGCCAGUUACCAGCGGCCACGAGCUUUUGGCUGCGUCCGAAUCUAGG
Ixodes scapularis (black-legged tick) is the source of this 592-nucleotide long non-coding RNA. RefSeq lists it as uncharacterized. NCBI's taxonomy places the organism in Eukaryota, Metazoa, Arthropoda, Arachnida, Ixodida, Ixodidae. The record is from RefSeq and is a predicted model, not a curated record. The transcript is spliced from 4 exons.